GGUAAGGUAGAAUACUAAGGGCACCUGGUGGAUGCCUCGGCACGGGGAGGCGAUGAAGGACGUGGUAAGCUGCGAUAAGCCCGGGGGAGGUGCAAACAACCGUUGAUCCCGGGAUCUCCGAAUGGGGAAACCCCUCCGCCUCAAAGGCGGAGAUCCCGCAGCAAUGCGGGAGGCGACACCGGGGGAAGUGAAACAUCUCAGUACCCCGAGGAAAAGAAAGCAAAAGCGAUUCCCUGAGUAGCGGCGAGCGAAAGGGGAGUAGCCUAAACUCGUGGGCGCGUAAAAGCGGGUGCGCGUUGCGCCCAGGGGGUAGUGGGGCCCUUCCGGAGCCUAGCACCCACGGGCUCGGGGAGUUACAAAACCCACAGUUAGCCGAAUCCUCCUGGAAAGGGGAGCCAAAGAGGGUGACAGCCCCGUAGGCGAAAACUGUGGGUCUCCCUGGGAAGGGUACCCGAGUAGCACCGGACACGUGGAAUCCGGUGUGAAUCUGGGAGGACCACCUCCUAAGGCUAAAUACUACCCCGUGACCGAUAGUGAACGUAGUACCGUGAGGGAAAGGUGAAAAGAACCCCUGGCGGGGAGUGAAAUAGAACCUGAAACCAGGUGCCUACAAGCAGUCGGAGCCUGAGUAGCUUCAAUUUGUUGGAGCUACUCGGGUGACGGCGUGCCUUUUGCAGCAUGAGCCGGGGAGUUACUCUCGGGAGCGAGGUUAACCCACGAUAGUGGGGGAGCCGUAGCGAAAGCGAGUCCUAACAGGGCGCUUAGUUCCCGGGAGUAGACCCGAAGCCGGGUGAGCUACCCAUGGGCAGGGUGAAGUCCCGGUAACACGGGAUGGAGGCCCGAACCGGUGGGUGAUGCAAAACCCUCGGAUGACCUGUGGGUAGGAGUGAAAAGCUAACCGAACCCGGUGAUAGCUGGUUCUCCCCGAAAUAUAUUUAGGUAUAGCCUCAGGGAUGAGUGGCGGAGGUAGAGCACUGAUGGGACAAGGGGGGUAAUACCUACCGAGUCCCGUCAAACUCCGAAUGCCGCCACUUGAACCCUGGGAGUCAGGGGGUGGGGGAUAACCUCCAUUCCCGAGAGGGGAACAACCCAGACCCCAAGCUAAGGUCCCUAAGUGGGGGCUAAGUGGUAAAGGAGGUGGAGUUGCUCAGACAGCCAGGAUGUUGGCUUAGAGGCAGCCAUCAUUUAAAGAGUGCGUAACAGCUCACUGGUCGAGCAACUCUGCGCCGAAAAUGUACCGGGGCUUAAGCCCCCCACCGAAGCUGGGGACUCCGCCAUCGGCGGAGUGGUAGGGGAGCGUUCCUACCUGGUUGAAGCCUCGACGUGAGUCGAGGUGGACGGGUAGGAAGUGAGAAUCCCGGCGUGAGUAGCGUCAAGACGGGUGAGAAUCCCGUCCGCCGUAAGCCCAAGGUUUCCGUGGGCAAGGCUCAUCCGCCCAGGGUAAGCCGGCCCCUAAGGCGAGGCCGUAAGGCGUAGCCGAUGGGAAGCGGGUUAAUAUUCCCGCGCCACCUGGGUCGCGCUAUUACUCCUGGGGUGACGCCCGAGCUGGGGCCAGCCCCGAGCUGGAAUUCGGGGUCCAAGCCUGAGGGGAUAACCUUCAGGUGAUGGGGAGGCUCAAGCCGAACUGGUCCGAUCCUCGGGACAAGAAAUAGCCUCAGGAGGAGUGGCUCAGGUGACCGUACCGGAAACCGACACUGGUGGGCGAGGGUAAUACCCAAAGGCGAGCGGGCUAACCUCGGCCAAGGAACUCGGCAAACUCGCCCCGUAACUUCGGGAGAAGGGGUGCCUCGCGUAGGGCGUAGUCCCAUCGUUAGGUGGGAUGAAGCCCGAGGAGGCCGCAGUUAAGAGGGCCUGGCGACUGUUUAACAAAAACACAGGUCUCUGCUAAGGCGAAAAGCCGAUGUAUAGGGACUGACGCCUGCCCAGUGCCGGAAGGUGAAGGGGAGGGGUGCAAGCCCCGACCUGAAGCCCCGGUAAACGGCGGCCCUAACUCUGAGGGUCCUAAGGUAGCGAAAUUCCUUGUCGGGUAAGUUCCGACCUGCAUGAAUGGCGUAACGACUGGGCCGCUGUCUCGGCCGAGGGCCCGGUGAAAACGAACUGGCCGUGAAGAUGCGGCCUACCCGCGGCAGGACGGAAAGACCCCGUGGACCUUUACUGCAGUCUGGUAUUGUAUCUUGGCAUAUCCUGUGCAGGAUAGGUGGGAGGCUAUGAAGUCCCGCCGCCAGGCGGGAUGGAGCCGCCGGUGAGAUACCACCCUGGAUAUGUCGAGGUACUAACCUCGGGUGUGCAACUCGAGGGACAGUGCCAGGCGGGCAGUUUGACUGGGGCGGUCGCCUCCUAAAAGGUAACGGAGGCGCCCAAAGGUCCCCUCAGCACGGACGGCAACCGUGCGUGGAGUGUAAGGGCAUAAGGGGGCCUGACUGUGAGGCCGACAGGCCGAGCAGGGGCGAAAGCCGGGCCUAGUGAUCCCGUGGCUCCGUGUGGAAGGGCCACCGCUCAUCGGACAAAAGGUACCCCGGGGAUAACAGGCUAGUCUCCCCCGAGAGUCCACAUCGACGGGGAGGUUCGGCACCUCGAUGUCGGCCCAUCGCAUCCUGGGGCUGGACAAGGUCCCAAGGGUUGGUCUGUUCGCCCAUUAAAGCGGUACGCGAGCUGGGUUCAGACCGUCGUGAGACAGGUCGGUCCUUAUCCGCCGCGGGCGUAGGAGACUUGAGGGGAGCUGCCCCUAGUACGAGAGGACCGGGGUGGGGGGGCCUCUGGUGUACCAGCUGUCGCGCCAGCGGCACCGCUGGGUAGCUAUGCCCCUAAGGGAUAACCGCUGAAAGCAUCUAAGCGGGAAGCCCUCCCCAAGAU
Molecule: ribosomal RNA, 2853 nt
Filed under: Thermoprotei archaeon
Lineage: Archaea; Thermoproteati; Thermoproteota; Thermoprotei
Description: bacterial LSU rRNA
Rfam family: Bacterial large subunit ribosomal RNA
Source: RNAcentral